RNAcentral lists this transfer RNA (73 nucleotides) under Methanocella conradii HZ254. RNAcentral's name for it is "tRNA-Gln (CTG) (tRNA-Gln-CTG-1-1)". It matches the Rfam family "tRNA". Rfam says of the family: Transfer RNA (tRNA) molecules are approximately 80 nucleotides in length. Their secondary structure includes four short double-helical elements and three loops (D, anti-codon, and T loops). Lineage: Archaea; Methanobacteriati; Methanobacteriota; Methanomicrobia; Methanocellales; Methanocellaceae. The record is from Rfam by way of RNAcentral. RNAcentral also lists the same sequence under 1 other name.
AGCCCCGUGGUGUAGUGGUCAAUCAUAGGGGACUCUGGAUCCCUUGACAUCGGUUCGAAUCCGGUCGGGGCUA